AUUGAACGCUGGCGGCAGGCCUAACACAUGCAAGUCGAGCGGAUGAAGGGAGCUUGCUCCUGGAUUCAGCGGCGGACGGGUGAGUAAUGCCUAGGAAUCUGCCUGGUAGUGGGGGAUAACGUCCGGAAACGGGCGCUAAUACCGCAUACGUCCAGAGGGAGAAAGUGGGGGAUCUUCGGACCUCACGCGAUCAGAUGAGCCUAGGUCGGAUUAGCUAGUUGGUGGGGUAAAGGCCUACCAAGGCGACGAUCCGUAACUGGUCUGAGAGGAUGAUCAGUCACACUGGAACUGAGACACGGUCCAGACUCCUACGGGAGGCAGCAGUGGGGAAUAUUGGACAAAGGGCGAAAGCCUGAUCCAGCCAUGCCGCGUGUGUGAAGAAGGUCUUCGGAUUGUAAAGCACUUUAAGUUGGGAGGAAGGGCAGUAAGUUAAUACCUUGCUGUUUUGACGUUACCAACAGAAUAAGCACCGGCUAACUUCGUG
This 484-nucleotide ribosomal RNA is filed under the name uncultured bacterium. RNAcentral describes it as "partial 16S ribosomal RNA". It matches the Rfam family "Bacterial small subunit ribosomal RNA", at positions 30 to 507 of the family's 1533-position model. The record is from RNAcentral.